GACGAACGCUGGCGGCGUGCUUAACACAUGCAAGUCGAGCGAUGAACCUUUCAUGAAUUUUUCGGAAUGAUUGGAAGAGGAUUAGCGGCGGACGGGUGAGUAACGCGUGAGCAACCUGCCUUAAACAACGGGAUAGCCUCGGGAAACCGGGAUUAAUACCGUAUGAGACCCCGCCUUCACAUGAAGAAGAGGUUAAAGAUUUAUCGGUUUAAGAUGGGCUCGCGUCUGAUUAGCUAGUUGGUGAGAUAAAAGCCCACCAAGGCAACGAUCAGUAACCGGCUUGAGAGAGUGAACGGUCACAUUGGAACUGAGACACGGUCCAAACUACUACGGGAGGCAGCGUUGGGGAAUAUUGCACAAUGAGGGAAACCCUGAUGCAGCGACGCCGCGUGAGCGAUGAAGGAAUUCGUUUCGUAAAGCUCUGUCCAAGGGGAAGAUAAUGACAGUACCCUUGGAGGAAGCCCCGGCUAAAUACGUGCCAGCCGCUGCCGUAA
This 494-nucleotide ribosomal RNA is filed under the name uncultured bacterium. RNAcentral describes it as "partial 16S ribosomal RNA". It matches the Rfam family "Bacterial small subunit ribosomal RNA", at positions 28 to 523 of the family's 1533-position model. The record is from RNAcentral.